AUUGAACGCUGGCGGCAGGCUUAACACAUGCAAGUCGAGCGGGGUGAUGGUGCUUGCACUAUCACUUAGCGGCGGACGGGUGAGUAAUGCUUAGGAAUCUGCCUAUUAGUGGGGGACAACAUCUCGAAAGGGAUGCUAAUACCGCAUACGUCCUACGGGAGAAAGCAGGGGAUCACUUGUGACCUUGCGCUAAUAGAUGAGCCUAAGUCGGAUUAGCUAGUUGGUGGGGUAAAGGCCUACCAAGGCGACGAUCUGUAGCGGGUCUGAGAGGAUGAUCCGCCACACUGGGAAUGAGAAACGGCACAGACGCCUACGGGAGGCAGCAGUGGGGAAUAUUGGACAAUGGGGGGAACCCUGAUCCAGCCAUGCCGCGUGUGUGAAGAAGGCCUUAUGGUUGUAAGGCACUUUAAGCGAGGAGGAGGCUCUUUUGGUUAAUACCCAAGAUGAGUGGACGUUACUCGCAGAAUAAGCACCGGCUAACUCUGUGCCAGCCGCCGCGGUAA
This 503-nucleotide ribosomal RNA is filed under the name uncultured bacterium. RNAcentral's name for it is "partial 16S ribosomal RNA". It matches the Rfam family "Bacterial small subunit ribosomal RNA", at positions 30 to 523 of the family's 1533-position model. The record is from RNAcentral.